This is a long non-coding RNA of Triplophysa dalaica, 671 nucleotides long. RefSeq lists it as uncharacterized. The transcript is spliced from 6 exons. The record is from RefSeq and is a predicted model, not a curated record. NCBI's taxonomy places the organism in Eukaryota, Metazoa, Chordata, Actinopteri, Cypriniformes, Nemacheilidae.
CCUUAUGAAAGCACGUUGUUUUCAGAGCACCAGUUUAUAUCUCAUUGUUAUUCAGUCAUUAGAUGUUCAUCACUCUUGCUAAUGAUAUAUCUUUUGUCAGUCCAGCAUGAUGAGGGCAAAGAUAGUUGUUUUGCUCUGGAUUCUGGAACAAGCAACUCUCAAGCACAUUCUGAUUUCAUUCAUCAGUGGGGUUGGAGCUGUUUUUGUGUUCGGAGGACUCUGUUUCUUUCUUAGUCAAGUGAUAAAAAGAAAGUGUAAGAAAAAUGUCCAGGCCAGAAAUCACAAUAUACUUCCGUUGGAAACACUUUCAGAUGAAAACAACAGUGAACCAGAUCGAAGGCGGCUAUACAGAAGCAGUUUAAGGAAAAGUUACUUUUAAAAGAGUCAAGGUCCAAGGCAGGCAGCUAGCCAGUCUUGUUGUGCGGUGGUGGGUUCCUGGUCACUGAGUCCUGUGCAUUGAUGAUUGAUUUCACCGUGUGUAUAGUGAGACUUGUGCACCUGGUGUUAUAAUUUGUGAUAUAGAAACCUUUGGCUAGUUGAUAGCUUACCUGCCUAUGGUAAACCUUACUCUCCUUUGUGUGUGUGUGGGGGUUGGAACUAUUUGCUGUUGAUACUAUACAACUUUUUAAACUCUAUUUAUUAUUGCAUUGAAUAAACUUUGUAUUUUUUGA